This 829-nucleotide ribosomal RNA is filed under the name uncultured Burkholderiales bacterium. Its description in RNAcentral is "bacterial SSU rRNA". It matches the Rfam family "Bacterial small subunit ribosomal RNA", at positions 57 to 886 of the family's 1533-position model. The record is from RNAcentral. Lineage: Bacteria; Pseudomonadati; Pseudomonadota; Betaproteobacteria; Burkholderiales.
GCAAGUCGAACGGUAGAGGGGGCAACCCCUUGAGAGUGGCGAACGGGUGACUUAUAUAUCGGAACGUGCCCAGUCGUGGGGGAUAACGUAGCGAAAGUUACGCUAAUACCGCAUACGAUCUAAGGAUGAAAGCGGGGGAUCGCAAGACCUCGCGCGACUGGAGCGGCCGAUAUCAGAUUAGGUAGUUGGUAGGGUAAAGGCCUACCAAGCCAACGAUCUGUAGCUGGUCUGAGAGGACGACCAGCCACACUGGAACUGAGACACGGUCCAGACUCCUACGGGAGGCAGCAGUGGGGAAUUUUGGACAAUGGGCGAAAGCCUGAUCCAGCCAUUCCGCGUGCAGGAUGAAGGCCCUCGGGUUGUAAACUGCUUUUGUACAGAACGAAAAGGUUUCUAUUAAUACUAGGAGCUCAUGACGGUACUGUAAGAAUAAGCACCGGCUAACUACGUGCCAGCAGCCGCGGUAAUACGUAGGGUGCAAGCGUUAAUCGGAAUUACUGGGCGUAAAGCGUGCGCAGGCGGUUAUAUAAGUCAGAUGUGAAAUCCCCGGGCUCAACCUGGGAACUGCAUUUGAGACUGUAUAGCUAGAGUACGGUAGAGGGGGGUGGAAUUCCGCGUGUAGCAGUGAAAUGCGUAGAUAUGCGGAGGAACACCGAUGGCGAAGGCAAUCCCCUGGACCUGUACUGACGCUCAUGCACGAAAGCGUGGGGAGCAAACAGGAUUAGAUACCCUGGUAGUCCACGCCCUAAACGAUGUCAACUGGUUGUUGGGUCUUUACUGACUCAGUAACGAAGCUAACGCGUGAAGUUGACCGCCUGGGGAGUACGGC